Molecule: long non-coding RNA, 914 nt
Organism: Falco peregrinus (peregrine falcon)
Lineage: Eukaryota; Metazoa; Chordata; Aves; Falconiformes; Falconidae
Exons: 5
Source: RefSeq, a predicted model, not a curated record
CGGCCGCGGGGCCUCAGGGUCGGGGAGUGUGGGACCCAUCCGCCGCCAUCCGCCGCCAUCCGCCCUCCCCUGGGCUCUCUCGCCGCACUGCCCACCCCCCCCCCCCCCCCGCAUCGGCAUCCUGCGUUGCCCCCCGCGGGCCGCCCCGCCGGGCGGCGCUCCGAUGUGCCGGGAAGGGCCUUGCUCCCUCCGCCGGGCCGGGCCCGCCGCGGCACCUUGGCACGGCGGUGAGCCCGGUGCGGGGGACGGCUGAUGGCGGCCUCGGCUUGGGAGCACCGGGAAGGGUUGCUUGGUGUUUCAGAGCUUGCUCAGCUGAUGCCCUGCCUGCCGAAUAGACCCGAGGAAUUAUUCCCUUACUGGAAAAAGCAAAGAACUUAAAAGAGUCCCAGUUGCCCGUGGAAGGAUUUGGUUUGCUCUCCUUAGGGCCCAAGUCAUGGGGGAGGCCGUGACACGGAGCCCAUGAGCACCCUUUGUGGGUAAUUGCCAAGCAUUCAGUCUUUCGAGUUGGGGUCUCCAGUCCUGGAGGACAAAGGACAGUUUGGGCUUACUGUGCCUGUGCUAGAAGUGGCCGGACCUAUCAUCUAGCCUGUGCAGGGCUUUGCAGGUCUAAAGAGAACGUGGAGCUGAUGUGAGCCAAUCCCUGAGGAUUUUGGUGCUGCAGUGCAAGACUUUGUGCAUUUCCAGCUCUUUCCUCCCGAAGCAGGAGCUCUUUGUAGCUGGAUCCUGGCUCCUUCCCGAGGCGUGAGCUCCCCUGGGUGGGAGCAGCCGCUCCUGUGCUCUGCUCACCCGCGCCACAGGGAGCAGGAGCUUGUCUGGCUCCAGGUGCUGCUCAAGCUCCUGUUUGAACACUGUGUGGAAGAACAGCCCCUUCUGUGGAGCGUUCUCAGGGAAAAAGUUUUUUUUGGGGGGGGGGG